Molecule: ribosomal RNA, 520 nt
Filed under: uncultured Glomus
Lineage: Eukaryota; Fungi; Glomeromycota; Glomeromycetes; Glomerales; Glomeraceae
Description: SSU rRNA
Rfam family: Eukaryotic small subunit ribosomal RNA
Source: RNAcentral
AGCAGCCGCGGUAAUUCCAGCUCCAAUAGCGUAUAUUAAAGUUGUUGCAGUUAAAAAGCUCGUAGUUGAAUUUCGAGAUCAAAUUGUUGGUCGUGCCUUGGUACGCACUGGCAUUAUUGGUUUCUCCCUUCUGACGAACCAUGAUGUCAUUAAUUUGGUGUCUUGGGGAAUCAGGACUGUUACUUUGAAAAAAUUUAGAGUGUUUAAAGCAGGCUCACGCUUGAAUACAUUAGCAUGGAAUAAUGAAAUAGGACGUUUGAUUCUAUUUUGUUGGUUUCUAGGAUCGACGUAAUGAUUAAUAGGGAUAGUUGGGGGGCAUUAGUAUUCAAUUGUCAGAGGUGAAAUUCUUGGAUUUAUUGAAGACUAACUACUGCGAAAGCAUUUGCCAAGGAUGUUUUCAUUAAUCAAGAACGAAAGUUAGGGGAUCGAAGACGAUCAGAUACCGUCGUAGUCUUAACCAUAAACUAUGCCGACUAGGGAUCGGAUGAUGUUAAUUUUUUUAAUGACUCAUUCGGCGCCU